Molecule: ribosomal RNA, 433 nt
Filed under: uncultured bacterium
Lineage: Bacteria
Description: partial 16S ribosomal RNA
Rfam family: Bacterial small subunit ribosomal RNA
Source: RNAcentral
AACGAACGCUGGCGGCAUGCCUAACACAUGCAAGUCGAACGAGACCUUCGGGUCUAGUGGCGCACGGGUGCGUAACGCGUGGGAACCUGAACUUAGGGUCGGAAUAACUACAAGAAAGGGGUGCUAAUACCGGAUAAUGUCUUCGGACCAAAGAUUUAUCGCCUUUGGAUGGGCCCGCGUUGGAUUAGCUAGUUGGUAGGGUAAAAGCCUACCAAGGCGACGAUCCAUAGCUGGUCUGAGAGGAUGAUCAGCCACACUGGGACUGAGACACGGCCCAGACUCCUACGGGAUGCAGCAGUGGGGAAUAUUGGACCAUGGGCGAAAGCCUGAUCCAGCAAUGCCGCGUGAGUGAUGAAGGCCUUAGGGUUGUAAAGCUCUUUUACCCGGGAUGAUAAUGACAGUACCGGGAGAAUAAGCCCCGGCUAACUCCGUG